AUGAAGAUAGGUAGAUGGGUUGUCUUGCCAAUUUAUUUUAAGGGCUUUCAUUAUCGAGGUGAAUGGUUUAUGUAAUGUGUUCUAAAAGUUCUUAUUUUGUGAUAAAAUAUGAAAACCAUGAAUUAUCGUGGAUUUGUUCUAUUUACAAUUAUCUCUCUAUUUCAAGUCAAGCAUGUCUAAUUUGGAGCAAUCUUUCACACUAUAUAUAUUGGAAUAUUUGUGAAAUAUGUAUUAUUCAUAGAACAUGAGAACUUAAAUGUUGGGGUAUCAGAGGGAUAGAUGUACCACACGGGGACAUAGGGUAGUAAGGCCAAUAGAGGUCACGUGGUUAGUUACAUGCUAUGAAGGAUAACCGAGAUAUGAAGGGAUGAUGUGAUAUGAUCUGGAUUGGUGUAUCUUUUCAUGAUAUUUUCUAAAGUGUGUAAAACAGCAUUGCUUGACUAGCAUAUUACAUAAUCUACUCACUGAGCAGUGGUUGCUCAUCAUUCACCCUAUUUAAUUUUUCAGAUGUAUUAGUGGGCAAGACAAGGACUAAAUCGGUUGAGGCUGAAUUAGAUGAGAGUGAUAGAGCUUUAUUUAUUUUUAUUGUAAAGUUGUAA
Molecule: long non-coding RNA, 599 nt
Filed under: Prunus dulcis (almond)
Lineage: Eukaryota; Viridiplantae; Streptophyta; Magnoliopsida; Rosales; Rosaceae
Description: sRNA ncRNA
Source: RNAcentral